AUGCCAAGUGAUAUUGGUGCCUGUAUUACUCCGCCGGACCCAGCUGAUGCGUUGGCGAUUGUUGCCAUUGUGGAAGAGCAACAAACAAAUGAAAACUCGGACUCUAAUCAGCAAGAAGAAAAUAUCAACUCCAACAUCGGCGAUGACAAUGUAAGUGGCUCCGAGAAUGUAAGUAAUUCGUCGGAUGCACAUGCCCAAUCUGCUAGUGUUGAUGAACAACCAGUUUAUACUGCCGAUAUUUAUGAUCCAAAAAGCUGGGAUAAUCUUGAUAAUAAAGCAAGAGAUAUCUUAGUUGAGAAAGGGCCUAUCAGAGAGGAAAAAAUGGAAUACCAUGUAGAUGAAACAGGAAGACAUUUUUCGUAUGCUCAUUAUCAUAGAUUUAAAGAACUCAUGGUCUUUAAAGAUAUAUUCGGAUUUUUAUUGAGCUCGGGCACUCUCACGUCAUUAAGUGACAAUGAACUUGAAGAAUGUUGCACAAAAUUUGCAGAAACUUUCUCUCUUAAUGGUUCAUCUGAUGUUGAGGUAUACGAUCUUAUUUCUGAAUUGAAGAUUAUGAGAUUCACUUUGCCAGAUGGCGCAAUGUCUGCUAUGGAGAUUUUCAGGCAUGUCAGAGAAGUUGAUUGUUACCCCAAUAUAUCCAUUGCCUAUCGCAUCUUAUUUAUUGUGCCUGUGACGGUCGCAUCGGCCGAGAGAAGCUUUUCAAAGUUGAAAUUAUUGAAGAAUUAUUUGAGGUCAACCAUGACUCAAGAGAGGUUAAAUGGUUUGGCCAUAUUAUGCAUCGAGAAGAAAUUAUUGGAUGAGAUUGACAUCGACCCCAUCAUAAGUGACUUUGCAUCGAGGAAUGUUAGAAGAAAAUUUUAA
RNAcentral lists this ribosomal RNA (861 nucleotides) under Triticum aestivum (bread wheat). RNAcentral's name for it is "partial small subunit ribosomal RNA". The record is from RNAcentral. Lineage: Eukaryota; Viridiplantae; Streptophyta; Magnoliopsida; Poales; Poaceae.